UUCGUAUUUCAGCUGAAGAGUGAACAUUUUUAGUGUAAGUAUGACUUAUAUAAUAUUUGGGAUAUACUUAUACUAAAAUAUUAUUCAGUUUAUCUGGAAUUC
Molecule: microRNA precursor, 102 nt
Filed under: Ovis aries (sheep)
Lineage: Eukaryota; Metazoa; Chordata; Mammalia; Artiodactyla; Bovidae
Description: miRNA (ENSOARG00000022171.1)
Source: RNAcentral